RNAcentral lists this ribosomal RNA (773 nucleotides) under uncultured bacterium. Its description in RNAcentral is "bacterial SSU rRNA". It matches the Rfam family "Bacterial small subunit ribosomal RNA", at positions 8 to 778 of the family's 1533-position model. The record is from RNAcentral.
AGAGUUUGAUCCUGGCUCAGAUUGAACGCUGGCGGCAUGCUUUACACAUGCAAGUCGAACGGUAACAGGUCUUCGGAUGCUGACGAGUGGCGAACGGGUGAGUAAUACAUCGGAACGUGCCUAGUAGUGGGGGAUAACUACUCGAAAGAGUAGCUAAUACCGCAUGAGAUCUACGGAUGAAAGCAGGGGACCUUCGGGCCUUGUGCUACUAGAGCGGCUGAUGGCAGAUUAGGUAGUUGGUGGGGUAAAGGCUUACCAAGCCUGCGACCUGUAGCUGGUCUGAGAGGACGACCAGCCACACUGGGACUGAGACACGGCCCAGACUCCUACGGGAGGCAGCAGUGGGGAAUUUUGGACAAUGGGCGAAAGCCUGAUCCAGCAAUGCCGCGUGCAGGAUGAAGGCCCUCGGGUUGUAAACUGCUUUUGUACGGAACGAAAAGCCUGGGGCUAAUAUCCCCGGGUCAUGACGGUACCGUAAGAAUAAGCACCGGCUAACUACGUGCCAGCAGCCGCGGUAAUACGUAGGGUGCAAGCGUUAAUCGGAAUUACUGGGCGUAAAGCGUGCGCAGGCGGUUUUGUAAGACAGUGGUGAAAUCCCCGGGCUCAACCUGGGAACUGCCAUUGUGACUGCAAGGCUAGAGUGCGGCAGAGGGGGAUGGAAUUCCGCGUGUAGCAGUGAAAUGCGUAGAUAUGCGGAGGAACACCGAUGGCGAAAGCAAUCCCCUGGGCCUGCACUGACGCUCAUGCACGAAAGCGUGGGGAGCAAACAGGAU